AUGCAGGACCCCUGCCCCGGCACCACCAAGUUCAGCAGGACGACUUCUAACGGCAGGUCCACUGGGUCGGUUUGCUUAACUGCCACUCUGAGUCCCUGGGCGGUCUCCACGCUUCUUACCAUCGCCACGGCUGUAAACAUAUCUUCCUUGAGGUUCAGGUCAUCCACGUCCCGGAUGAACUCCAUGGUGGAGACGUUGAUCCCAGCCCCCUGCCAAAACAAAAACAAGGCAACGCGCAGGUCAGCCCUUACAGUCGGGUCGAUCAACUUACGUAAAGGCGGCCAAUACGGUCGGCUCGAUCGCCCUCGCCAGAACCGGGGCGAUGACGACGAAGAGGAUGAGCAGGAGGCGGCUAUCACAUGGUGA
RNAcentral lists this ribosomal RNA (366 nucleotides) under Triticum aestivum (bread wheat). RNAcentral describes it as "partial small subunit ribosomal RNA". Lineage: Eukaryota; Viridiplantae; Streptophyta; Magnoliopsida; Poales; Poaceae. The record is from RNAcentral.